CCAACGGGUAUAAAGUUAGCAAUGAAUACAAAUUAUGAAACUUAUCGAUUACUAUGACAAUCCUAUCAUGGGUAUAAAGUGACCAUAGCAUGAAUUUUUGUGAGUAAUAUUUUAAAAAUAUGGUAUGAAUAUCUAACAAGAAUGAUUUAUGAAUCAUAUUUACAAAAUACUCAUGAUUGAUUUAUGACUUAUUUUAUUACAUAUCCUAUGAAAUAUUUUAUUUUAUAAUAUAUAUUAU
Molecule: long non-coding RNA, 238 nt
Filed under: Elaeis guineensis (African oil palm)
Lineage: Eukaryota; Viridiplantae; Streptophyta; Magnoliopsida; Arecales; Arecaceae
Description: long non-coding RNA (EGUI_LNC031355)
Source: RNAcentral